GUCGAGCGGUAGCACAGAGAGCUUGCUCUCGGGUGACGAGCGGCGGACGGGUGAGUAAUGUCUGGGAAACUGCCUGAUGGAGGGGGAUAACUACUGGAAACGGUAGCUAAUACCGCAUAACGUCGCAAGACCAAAGUGGGGGACCUUCGGGCCUCAUGCCAUCAGAUGUGCCCAGAUGGGAUUAGCUAGUAGGUGGGGUAACGGCUCACCUAGGCGACGAUCCCUAGCUGGUCUGAGAGGAUGACCAGCCACACUGGAACUGAGACACGGUCCAGACUCCUACGGGAGGCAGCAGUGGGGAAUAUUGCACAAUGGGCGCAAGCCUGAUGCAGCCAUGCCGCGUGUGUGAAGAAGGCCUUCGGGUUGUAAAGCACUUUCAGCGGGGAGGAAGGCGAUAAGGUUAAUAACCUUGUCGAUUGACGUUACCCGCAGAAGAAGCACCGGCUAACUCCGUGCCAGCAGCCGCGGUAAUACGGAGGGUGCAAGCGUUAAUCGGAAUUACUGGGCGUAAAGCGCACGCAGGCGGUCUGUCAAGUCGGAUGUGAAAUCCCCGGGCUCAACCUGGGAACUGCAUUCGAAACUGGCAGGCUAGAGUCUUGUAGAGGGGGGUAGAAUUCCAGGUGUAGCGGUGAAAUGCGUAGAGAUCUGGAGGAAUACCGGUGGCGAAGGCGGCCCCCUGGACAAAGACUGACGCUCAGGUGCGAAAGCGUGGGGAGCAAACAGGAUUAGAUACCCUGGUAGUCCACGCCGUAAACGAUGUCGAUUUGGAGGUUGUGCCCUUGAGGCGUGGCUUCCGGAGCUAACGCGUUAAAUCGACCGCCUGGGGAGUACGGCCGCAAGGUUAAAACUCAAAUGAAUUGACGGGGGCCCGCACAAGCGGUGGAGCAUGUGGUUUAAUUCGAUGCAACGCGAAGAACCUUACCUGGUCUUGACAUCCACAGAACUU
This 946-nucleotide ribosomal RNA is filed under the name Klebsiella sp. 968B12_12AMac. RNAcentral's name for it is "bacterial SSU rRNA". It matches the Rfam family "Bacterial small subunit ribosomal RNA", at positions 61 to 998 of the family's 1533-position model. The record is from RNAcentral. Lineage: Bacteria; Pseudomonadati; Pseudomonadota; Gammaproteobacteria; Enterobacterales; Enterobacteriaceae.